UUAUCAACUGAGGAAGCAGAAGAUGCUACACAAGUGGGCAAACUUCGUUCAGCUCUUGAGUCUGUUGAUCACAAAAGAAGAAAGAUUUUGCAGCAAAUGAGAAGUGAUGUAGCCUUGUUAACAUUGGAGGAUGGUGGGUCACCUAUUCAUAAUCCUUCUACUGCUGCUGAGGAUGCACGAUUAGCAUCUCUCAUUUCUCUUGAUGGCAUAUUGAAGCAAGUCAAGGAUAUAGUGAGACAAUCCUCUGUAAAUACCUUGAGUAAAACUAAAAAGAAAGCAAUGCUUAGUUCUUUAGAUGAACUUGCAGAAAGGAUGCCUUCCCUUCUUGAAAUUGAUCAUCCAUGUGCACAGAGGCAAAUUGUAGAUGCUCGUCGUGUGGUUGAGUCGAUUCCUGAAGAAGAUGACCAGCUUCAUGAAUUGGUACAUUAUAGAAAAUCUCCUGCAGAUUUGGGGUCUAGUACUGAUGUGGCACAGUGGAAUGUUUUGCAAUUCAACACAGGCUCCACAACACCGUUUAUCAUCAAGUGUGGAGCAAACUCAAAUUCUGAAUUGGUCAUCAAAGCCGAUGCCCAUGUUCAGGAACCUAAAGGUGGUGAAAUUGUAAGAGUUGUUCCAAGACCGUCUGUGUUGGAAAAUAAGAGCUUGGAGGAAAUGAAACAGGUAUUCUUCCAACUUCCUGAGGCUCUAAGCUUGCUAGCCUUAGCAAGGACUGAAGAUGGUACCCGAGCUCGGUAUUCUAGACUGUAUAGAACUUUGGCCAUGAAAGUUCCGUCAUUGAGAGACCUAGUCGGUGAGCUUGAGAAGGGGGGAGUACUAAAAGAUGUGAGAUCAUGAAUGCAUAGUGUAUUGAGAGGUCAUUGUAUGCGUUCUAGUUCUACUGUGGUUUAUUGUGCUUGGCUGUAUUAAUGAUUUUGUUUCUUUUUUGGUGGGAAGGGGGUGGGAGAAAGAAGGGUUGUGUGUUGAAAGCAAUUGGUUUGUAGUUAAUUAUGGGAGAAGGAAAUCUUUGUAUUUGAUACUUUGUAGUGCAUAAACAGUAUAUUGUAUCACACGUAUGCUCUGAAAUUG
Molecule: unclassified non-coding RNA, 1065 nt
Filed under: Hevea brasiliensis (rubber tree)
Lineage: Eukaryota; Viridiplantae; Streptophyta; Magnoliopsida; Malpighiales; Euphorbiaceae
Source: RNAcentral